CCUACGGGAGGCAGCAGUGGGGAAUUUUGGACAAUGGGCGCAAGCCUGAUCCAGCAAUGCCGCGUGAGUGAAGAAGGCCUUCGGGUUGUAAAGCUCUUUUGUCAGGGAAGAAACGGUGGGAGCUAAUAUCUCCUACUAAUGACGGUACCUGAAGAAUAAGCACCGGCUAACUACGUGCCAGCAGCCGCGGUAAUACGUAGGGUGCAAGCGUUAAUCGGAAUUACUGGGCGUAAAGCGUGCGCAGGCGGUUUUGUAAGUCUGUCGUGAAAGCCCCGGGCUCAACCUGGGAAUUGCGAUGGAGACUGCAAGGCUUGAAUCUGGCAGAGGGGGGUAGAAUUCCACGUGUAGCAGUGAAAUGCGUAGAGAUGUGGAGGAACACCGAUGGCGAAGGCAGCCCCCUGGGUCAAGAUUGACGCUCAUGCACGAACGACGGUGGGGAGGACGAACGAGGAGUAGUAUACCGUACGGUAGUACCGACCGACCCGUAAACCGAACGUAGUCUACUACGUUAGGUUCGGGUUUUAACGUUUUAACGUUUA
Molecule: ribosomal RNA, 539 nt
Filed under: uncultured bacterium
Lineage: Bacteria
Description: bacterial SSU rRNA
Rfam family: Bacterial small subunit ribosomal RNA
Source: RNAcentral